GGGCUCGUGGUUUAGUGGCUAUGACGUCUCCCUUACACGGAGAAGGUCGCCAGUUCGAUUCUGGCCGGGCCCA
Molecule: transfer RNA, 73 nt
Filed under: Nanobdellota archaeon
Lineage: Archaea; Nanobdellati; Nanobdellota
Description: tRNA-Val
Rfam family: tRNA
About the family: Transfer RNA (tRNA) molecules are approximately 80 nucleotides in length. Their secondary structure includes four short double-helical elements and three loops (D, anti-codon, and T loops). Further hydrogen bonds mediate the characteristic L-shaped molecular structure. tRNAs have two regions of fundamental functional importance: the anti-codon, which is responsible for specific mRNA codon recognition, and the 3' end, to which the tRNAs corresponding amino acid is attached (by aminoacyl-tRNA synthetases). tRNAs cope with the degeneracy of the genetic code in two manners: having more than one tRNA (with a specific anti-codon) for a particular amino acid; and 'wobble' base-pairing, i.e. permitting non-standard base-pairing at the 3rd anti-codon position.
Source: RNAcentral